Molecule: ribosomal RNA, 26 nt
Filed under: Botryosphaeria dothidea
Lineage: Eukaryota; Fungi; Ascomycota; Dothideomycetes; Botryosphaeriales; Botryosphaeriaceae
Description: partial 28S ribosomal RNA
Source: RNAcentral
UUAAGCAUAUCAAUAGGCGGGAGGAA